GAAUAUGAAAGUGGUGUAUGCCUGGGAGUGUGGCGUGUAUGGUUCGUUUAACUGAAUCUAAUGUUUUUUAUUUUUUAACUGAACUGUUAGGCUCUUUUGUAACGUGAUUAACAGUAUAUUAUAAUCUUCUAAAAUUAGUUAUAUAGCAUGUUGAAAAUUAAAUUACAUUUUUAUAUUUUAUUUUUAUACACUUGAUUUUGUUAACUAGUUUUUUAUCAAAUGAAAACUCUAAAGCUGAUUUUGUUUUUAAUUGAUUUUGUUAAUUGCUUUACGAUUUGGUUUUUCAUUUUACUGGCUACCCCUAGUCUCUAUC
This 313-nucleotide unclassified non-coding RNA is filed under the name Hevea brasiliensis (rubber tree). The record is from RNAcentral. Lineage: Eukaryota; Viridiplantae; Streptophyta; Magnoliopsida; Malpighiales; Euphorbiaceae.